CCAGGAGGUUGGCUUAGAAGCAGCCAUCCUUGAAAGAGUGCGUAAUAGCUCACUGGUCGAGUGGUUCUGCGCCGAUAAUGUAGCGGGGCUUAAGCACACCGCCGAAACCGCGGCAACACAUUUGGUGUUGGGUAGGGGAGCGUCGUGCAUGUGUUGAAGCUAUCUGGUGAUAGGUGGUGGAGUGUGUGCGAGUGAGAAUGCAGGCAUGAGUAACGAGUGAUGUGUGGGAAACAUAUCCGCCGGAUGACUAAGGGUUCCUGGGUGAAGUUUAUCUUCCCAGGGUGAGUCGGGGCCUAAGGCGAGGCCGACAGGCGUAGUCGAUGGAGAACGGGUUGAUAUUCCCGUACCCGUGUGCGUGCGACAAGUGAUGAAUCUUAUGGUACUAACCGCCCGCUUGUUUCUACUGGUCUUUUUGGUUGGUGGUUUCAGGUGCGUGGGAUCUUCGUGGGUAGUAGUCAAGUGAUGGGGUGACGCAGAGUGGUAGCUAGGCUUCCUUAUUGGAUUGGAGUGCAAGCGUGUGGCCUGUGGGGUUGGUAAAUCCGCCCCACAUAAAGGGUGAGGCGUGAUGCGGACACCUUUUGUGGUGGUAGUUAGUGUGCCUGUGCUGUCUAGAAAAGCCUCUAGCGAGUGCGUGCAUGGCCCGUACCGGAAACCGACACAGGUGGUCAGGUAGAGAAUACUAAGGCGUUCGGGUGAACUGUGGUUAAGGAACUCGGCAAAAUGCCCCCGUAACUUCGGGAGAAGGGGGACCACUACUGGUUGCUGACAGCAUUUUUAGCUGGUGGUGGUCGCAGAGGAGAGAGGGAAGCGACUGUUUAUUAAAAACACAGGUCCGUGCGAAAACGUGGAAGUUGAGGUAUACGGACUGACGCCUGCCCGGUGCUGGAAGGUUAAGAGGACCCGUGAGCACACUUUUUUGGUGUGCGAGGCGGAGAAUUGAAGCCCCAGUAAACGGCGGUGGUAACUAUAACCAUCCUAAGGUAGCGAAAUUCCUUGUCGGGUAAGUUCCGACCUGCACGAAUGGCGUAACGACUUCCCUGCUGUCUCAACCACAGGCCCGGUGAAAUUGCAGUACGAGUAAAGAUGCUCGUUUCGCGCGGCAGGACGAAAAGACCCCGGGACCUUUACUAUAGCUUGGUAUUGGUGUGUGCUGCAGCUUGUGUAGGAUAGGUGGGAGACUGUGAAGCGUUCACGCUAGUGGGUGUGGAGUCAUUGGUGAAAUACCACUCUGGUUGUUGUGUGCAUCUAACUGUGGGCCCUGAUCGGGUUUUGGGACAGUGCCUGGUGGGUAGUUUAACUGGGGCGGUUGCCUCCUAAAUGGUAACGGAGGCGCCCAAAGGUUUCCUCAGUCUGGUUGGCAAUCAGAUGGUGAGUGUAAGUGUAUAAGGGAGCUUGACUGUGACACUGACGGGUGGAGCAGGUGCGAAAGCAGGGACUAGUGAUCCGGCAUCUACGUGUGGUUGUGGUGUCGCUCAACGGAUAAAAGGUACCCCGGGGAUAACAGGCUGAUCUUCCCCAAGAGUUCAUAUCGACGGGAUGGUUUGGCACCUCGAUGUCGGCUCGUCGCAUCCUGGGGCUGGAGUAGGUCCCAAGGGUUGGGCUGUUCGCCCAUUAAAGCGGCACGCGAGCUGGGUUUAGAACGUCGUGAGACAGUUCGGUCUCUAUCCGCCGCGCGCGU
RNAcentral lists this ribosomal RNA (1678 nucleotides) under human metagenome. RNAcentral's name for it is "bacterial LSU rRNA". It matches the Rfam family "Bacterial large subunit ribosomal RNA", at positions 1093 to 2654 of the family's 2925-position model. The record is from RNAcentral.